RNAcentral lists this ribosomal RNA (233 nucleotides) under uncultured bacterium. RNAcentral's name for it is "partial 16S ribosomal RNA". It matches the Rfam family "Bacterial small subunit ribosomal RNA", at positions 30 to 263 of the family's 1533-position model. The record is from RNAcentral.
AUUGAACGCUGGCGGCAUGCCUUACACAUGCAAGUCGAACGGCAGCACGGGGGCGAACCCUGGUGGCGAGUGGCGAACGGGUGAGUAACACAUCGGAACGUACCCGGUGGUGGGGAUAGCCCGGCGAAAGCCGGAUUAAUACCGCAUACGACCUACGGGUGAAAGCGGGGGAUCGUAAGACCUCGCGCUAUCGGAGCGGCCGAUGUCAGAUUAGGUUGUUGGUGGGGUAAAGG